AGAGUCUCCGCUAAAGGAUCAGCCUAUGUCCUAUCAGCUUGUUGGUGAGGUAAUGGCCCACCAAGGCUAUGACGGGUAUCCGGCCUGAGAGGGUGAUCGGACACACUGGAACUGAGACACGGUCCAGACUCCUACGGGAGGCAGCAGUAGGGAAUAUUGCUCAAUGGGGGAAACCCUGAAGCAGCAACGCCGCGUGGAGGAUGAAGGUUUUAGGAUUGUAAACUCCUUUUGUGAGAGAAGAUAAUGACGGUAUCUCACGAAUAAGCACCGGCUAACUCCGUGCCAGCAGCCGCGGUAAUACGGAGGGUGCAAGCGUUACUCGGAAUCACUGGGCGUAAAGAGUGCGCAGGCGGGCUUGUAAGUCAGAUGUGAAAUCCUGUAGCUUAACUACAGAACUGCAUUUGAAACUAUGAGUCUAGAGUGUGGGAGAGGUAGGUGGAAUUCUUGGUGUAGGGGUAAAAUCCGUAGAUAUCAAGAGGAAUACUCAUUGCGAAGGCGACCUACUGGAACAUUACUGACGCUCAUGCACGAAAGCGUGGGGAGCAAACAGGAUUAGAUACCCUGGUAGUCCACGCCCUAAACGAUGAAUGCUAGUUGUUGUGGAGCUUGUCUCUGCAGUAAUGCAGCUAACGCAUUAAGCAUUCCGCCUGGGGAGUACGGUCGCAAGAUUAAAACUCAAAGGAAUAGACGGGGACCCGCACAAGCGGUGGAGCAUGUGGUUUAAUUCGAAGAUACGCGAAGAACCUUACCUAGGCUUGACAUUGAUAGAAUCUGCUAGAGAUAGCGGAGUGCCCUUUUAGGGAGCUUGAAAACAGGUGCUGCACGGCUGUCGUCAGCUCGUGUCGUGAGAUGUUGGGUUAAGUCCCGCAACGAGCGCAACCCUCGUCCUUAGUUGCUAGCAGUUCGGCUGAGCACUCUAAGGAGACUGCCUUCGUAAGGAGGAGGAAGGUGAGGACGACGUCAAGUCAUCAUGGCCCUUACGCCUAGGGCUACACACGUGCUACAAUGGGGUGCACAAAGAGACGCAAUACUGCGAAGUGGAGCAAAUCUCUAAAACAUCUCUCAGUUCGGAUUGUAGUCUGCAACUCGACUACAUGAAGCUGGAAUCGCUAGUAAUCGCAAAUCAGCCAUGUUGCGGUGAAUACGUUCCCGGGUCUUGUACUCACCGCCCGUCACACCAUGGGAGUUGUAUUCGCCUUAAGUCGGAAUACUAAAUUGGUUACCGCCCACGGCGGAUGCAGCGACUGGGGUGAAGUCGUAACAAGGUAACCGUAGGUGAACCUGC
Molecule: ribosomal RNA, 1285 nt
Filed under: Helicobacter mastomyrinus
Lineage: Bacteria; Pseudomonadati; Campylobacterota; Epsilonproteobacteria; Campylobacterales; Helicobacteraceae
Description: 16S ribosomal RNA
Rfam family: Bacterial small subunit ribosomal RNA
Source: RNAcentral